This 253-nucleotide ribosomal RNA is filed under the name uncultured bacterium. Its description in RNAcentral is "partial 16S ribosomal RNA". It matches the Rfam family "Bacterial small subunit ribosomal RNA", at positions 524 to 776 of the family's 1533-position model. The record is from RNAcentral.
UACGAAGGGGGCUAGCGUUGCUCGGAAUUACUGGGCGUAAAGGGCGCGUAGGCGGAUAUUUAAGUCGGGGGUGAAAGCCCAGGGCUCAACCCUGGAAUAGCCUUCGAUACUGGAUAUCUUGAGUUCGGGAGAGGUGAGUGGAACUCCGAGUGUAGAGGUGAAAUUCGUAGAUAUUCGGAAGAACACCAGCGGCGAAGGCGACUCACUGGCCCGAUACUGACGCUGAAGCGCGAAAGCGUGGGGAGCAAACAGG